Molecule: ribosomal RNA, 458 nt
Filed under: uncultured bacterium
Lineage: Bacteria
Description: partial 16S ribosomal RNA
Rfam family: Bacterial small subunit ribosomal RNA
Source: RNAcentral
CCUACGGGUGGCAGCAGUGAGGAAUAUUGGUCAAUGGGCGAGAGCCUGAACCAGCCAAGUCGCGUGAAGGAGUACUGCCCAAUGGGUUGUAAACCUCUUUUGUCGGGGAGCAAAAGCCGGACGUGUCCGGCUGUGAGAGUACCCGAAGAAAAAGCAUCGGCUAACUCCGUGCCAGCAGCCGCGGUAACACGGGGGAUGCGAGCGGUACACGGAUUUAUUGGGGUUAAAGGGUGCGCAGGCGGAUUUUUAAGUCAGCGGUCAAAUCGUGGGGCUCAACCCCAUCCAGCCGUGGAAACUGGGGAUCUAGAGUGUGCGAGAGGUAUGCGGAAUGCGUGGUGUAGCGGUGAAAUGCAUAGAUAUCACGCAGAACCCCGAUUGCGAAGGCAGCAUACCGGUGCACAACUGACGCUCAGGCACGAAAGCGUGGGUAUCGAACAGGAUUAGAUACCCGUGUAGUC